Molecule: ribosomal RNA, 265 nt
Filed under: uncultured bacterium
Lineage: Bacteria
Description: partial 16S ribosomal RNA
Rfam family: Bacterial small subunit ribosomal RNA
Source: RNAcentral
UUCGAGUGGCGGACGGGUGAGUAACGCGUGGGUAACCUGCCUUACACAGGGGGAUAACACCUGGGAAACAGGUGCUAAUACCGCAUAAGCGCACAGGGCCGCAUGGCCCGGUGUGAAAAACUCCGGUGGUGUAAGAUGGACCCGCGUCUGAUUAGCUUGUUGGCGGGGUAGGGGCCCACCAAGGCGACGAUCAGUAGCCGGCCUGAGAGGGUGGACGGCCACAUUGGGACUGAGACACGGCCCAAACUCCUACGGGAGGCAGCAG